CUGGGUUCUGUUGUUGGCAACCAACAGAGUUGUUGUCUUUUCUCGCAUUCAUUAAAAUGCACAAGAAGAAAUUUCUAAUGGUGAGGGAGUACUUGCUUCAAAUUCAUACUUCAGUGAAAUAAACAACACCAUACAUAGGAAUGUGAAAGCAAAGUCAUCAUACACUGUUUGCUUCAUUGUAUGAGAAUCAAUGUUUGCAUGAUAAACUGCCCUAAUGGAAGAGGACUCUGAGUUACCUUUUUCGAGCAAAGCCACCUAGGUUACUCUGUUUUCCCCAGAGUGACCCUUCUGUUCUGCAAAUUUUCAGAUUGAAGGGAGUAGCAGUAGAGUAUCAGAAGUAUCAGAAGCAAAAAAGUAAAUGUAUGAUUUGCAAAGCAUAACAAAAUGAAAAAUAAGCUUCUGCAGUCAUGGAAGUUCAGAAUUGGAUAACAACUUAGAUUAUUUAUUCCAACCUCAUCGAAAAAGAGAUAAAGACAUGGAAUUCAGGAAAAGUGAAAUCUACUUAAAUGUACCAAUCACAGCAGAGUCUUUUGGAACUUAAACAUCUUGACUCUUCUGUUUAAAGCCUAAAUCAACCUGAGAGAAGAGAUGAAACAACUGAGGGCCAAAAAGUUUACAAAAUUUUCCAAGAUCAUACAGCUAAUUAACAACAUCUGGGCUCUUCUUGACUUUUGGAAUCCAAAAGGUGCUACCAGCAUCCCAAGGUGUCCAGCUUGUAGACAGCCUGUCGUGGGACUUCUCAACCUCCAUAAUUGUGUAAGCCAAGUUCCCUAAUUAAUUCAUAAAUUCUCUCUCUCUCUCUCUUGCUCGGUCUUGCUCUACUGUUUGUUAUGUCUGGAAAACUCGGACUAAUACACUAUUUAACACCU
This 869-nucleotide long non-coding RNA is filed under the name Homo sapiens (human). Its description in RNAcentral is "HSALNT0313015". Lineage: Eukaryota; Metazoa; Chordata; Mammalia; Primates; Hominidae. The record is from RNAcentral.